GGGCUACACACGUGCUACAAUGGCUAGUACAAAGGGUUGCCAACUCGCGAGAGUGCGCUAAUCCCAUAAAGCUAGUCGUAGUCCGGAUCGGAGUCUGCAACUCGACUCCGUGAAGUCGGAAUCGCUAGUAAUCGCGUAUCAGCAAUGACGCGGUGAAUACGUUCCCGGACCUUGUACACACCGCCCGUCAAGCCAUGGAAGUUGGGUAGACCUGAAGAUGGUUGCUGUAAGGCGCUAUUUAGGGUAGAACCA
This 252-nucleotide ribosomal RNA is filed under the name Alexandrium margalefii. Its description in RNAcentral is "partial Bacterial small subunit ribosomal RNA". It matches the Rfam family "Bacterial small subunit ribosomal RNA", at positions 1211 to 1470 of the family's 1533-position model. Lineage: Eukaryota; Dinophyceae; Gonyaulacales; Pyrocystaceae. The record is from RNAcentral.